UACGAACCUUGCUAGCGUUAUUCGGAAUUACUGGGCUUAAAGGGUGCGUAGGCGGUGCAGCAAGUUGGGUGUGAAAGCCCUCGGCUCAACCGAGGAAUUGCGCCCAAAACUGCUGCACUAGAGGAAGACAGAGGUACGCGGAACUUAGGGUGGAGCGGUGAAAUGCGUUGAUAUCCUAAGGAACACCGGUGGGGAAAGCGGCGUACUGGGGCUUAUCUGACGCUGAGGCACGAAAGCUAGGGGAGCGAACGGG
Molecule: ribosomal RNA, 253 nt
Filed under: uncultured bacterium
Lineage: Bacteria
Description: partial 16S ribosomal RNA
Rfam family: Bacterial small subunit ribosomal RNA
Source: RNAcentral